CCUACGGGAGGCAGCAGUGGGGAAUAUUGCGCAAUGGGCGAAAGCCUGACGCAGCGACGCCGCGUGAGGGAUGAAGGUCUUCGGAUCGUAACCCUCUGUCAGCAGGGAAGUACGGUCACUGUGCUAAUCAGCAGUGAAUUGACGGUACCUGCAAAGGAAGCACCGGCUAACUCCGUGCCAGCAGCCGCGGUAAUACGGAGGGUGCGGGCGUUAAUCGGAAUUACUGGGCGUAAAGCGCUCGUAGGCGGUAUGUCAAGUCAAGGGUGAAAUCCCCGCGCUCAACGUGGGAACUGCCUUUGAAACUGGUAGACUGGAGUGUGGGAGAGGAGAGUGGAAUUCGAGGUGUAGGGGUGAAAUCCGUAGAUAUCUGGAGGAACAUCAGGGGCGAAGGCGACUAUCUGGCACAUAACUGACGCUGAGGAGCGAAAGCGUGGGUAGCAAACAGGAUUAGAUACCCGGGUAGUC
RNAcentral lists this ribosomal RNA (465 nucleotides) under uncultured bacterium. RNAcentral describes it as "partial 16S ribosomal RNA". It matches the Rfam family "Bacterial small subunit ribosomal RNA", at positions 338 to 795 of the family's 1533-position model. The record is from RNAcentral.